CCGACCGGCGCACGGGUGAGUAACGCGUAUGCAACUUACCUAUCAGAGGGGGAUAACCCGGCGAAAGUCGGACUAAUACCGCAUGAAGCAGGGGCCCCGCAUGGGGAUAUUUGCUAAAGAUUCAUCGCUGAUAGACAGGCAUGCGUUCCAUUAGGCAGUUGGCGGGGUAACGGCCCACCAAACCGACGAUGGAUAGGGGUUCUGAGAGGAAGGUCCCCCACAUUGGUACUGAGACACGGACCAA
This 244-nucleotide ribosomal RNA is filed under the name uncultured bacterium. RNAcentral's name for it is "partial 16S ribosomal RNA". It matches the Rfam family "Bacterial small subunit ribosomal RNA", at positions 91 to 334 of the family's 1533-position model. The record is from RNAcentral.